Molecule: ribosomal RNA, 465 nt
Filed under: uncultured bacterium
Lineage: Bacteria
Description: partial 16S ribosomal RNA
Rfam family: Bacterial small subunit ribosomal RNA
Source: RNAcentral
GACGAACGCUGGCGGCGUGCUUAACACAUGCAAGUCGAACGGAAAGGCCCCUUCGGGGGUACUCGAGUGGCGAACGGGUGAGUAACACGUACGUAACCUGCCCUUGCCUUCGGGAUAACUUCAGCAAACUGGGGCUAAUACCGAAUAGGAAUGCUUGCUUCAUGGUGGGGGUUGGAAAGCUUCGGCGGGUUUGGAUGGACUCGCGGGUUAUCAGCUUGUUGGGGGGGUAAUGGCUUACCGAGGCCGUGACGCGUAGCCGGCCUGAGGGGGCGACCGGCCACAUUGGGACUGAGGUAAGGCCCAGGUUCCUACUGGAGGCAGCAGUGGGGAAUAUUGCACAAUGGGCGGAAGCCUGAUGCAGCAACGCCGCGGGCGGGAUGACGGUCUUCGGGUUGUAAACCGCAUUCAGCAGGGGCGAAGCUUGUGGUGACGGUACCUGCAGAAGAAGCACCGGCUAACUACGUG